CGGAUUAGCGGCGGACGGGUGAGUAACACGUGAGUAACCUGCCUUAGACAUUGGGAUAGCCUCGGGAAACCGGGAUUAAUACCAAAUAAAAUCAUAAUGACACAUGUCAUAACGAUCAAAACUCCGGUGGUCUAAGAUGGACUCGCGUCCCAUCAGCUAGUUGGUAGAGUAAAAGCCUACCAAGGCGACGAUGGGUAGCCGGCCUGAGAGGGUGAACGGCCACAUUGGAACUGAGAAACGGUCCAA
RNAcentral lists this ribosomal RNA (246 nucleotides) under uncultured Eubacteriales bacterium. RNAcentral describes it as "uncultured Clostridiales bacterium partial 16S ribosomal RNA". It matches the Rfam family "Bacterial small subunit ribosomal RNA", at positions 88 to 334 of the family's 1533-position model. Lineage: Bacteria; Bacillati; Bacillota; Clostridia; Eubacteriales. The record is from RNAcentral.